UCAGCUGAUUGUAAUCCGACUGCCCAAAAAUGUCAAUAAAAAGAGAUUUUUUACGUUCCUAAACGUUUCAACAUUAUUAACAUGUGAAUAGUUCCUUGAACAUUUUGUAAAAUAGUAUUUAUUUACCUUGUUCCUCCUUCCGUAAAAAUCUAGUCAACAGCAUUAGGGUAAGCCAUGGAUAUCCUGGCAGAGAGUCAUUGGGCACUGGUCCACCCUCUGCGGUCCAUGUCCAAGAAAUCCUACCGAAUUCUAGUCUUUGUUGUGUUGUGGUUUGGCUUUGGCUCAACGUACCUGUUGAAGAAACCUUUGGGUGUCAUCAAAUCAGACAUUGCCGAGGAUUUGCAUUUGUCAAAGUUUGAACUGGGCAUACUGGACACUGCUUUGCUGCUACCGUAUGCUGUGAUGCAAGUCUUUCUAGGACCUCUAGCCGACCACCAAGGCCCAAGGAAAACCAUGGCCUGUUGUCUCUUCUCGGCAGGACUCUCCAUGGCUUUCUUUGGAUUGGCCAACUCGUUUCACUUCUCCCUCCUGAUGCUGUUCCUCUGCGGCACUUGCCUGGCUCCCACCUGGCCAGCCUGUUCCAAAUGUCUGGCUUCCUACUUUGACAAGCAGAGGGACACCAUCUUUGGCAUUUUCUCGACGGCCGGCUCUGUGGGCGGCAUAUGCGGGACUGGGCUCGCCGUCUGGACAUUGAGCGUUUACGGGUGGCAACUGUCUUAUCUGUUACCGUCCAGCUUUUCCAUCUUGAUGUCCCUGUUAACGCUGGGGCUGGUUUACAGUCCCGAGGAGAUGGGACAGGGCCCAGCUCGGCCGUCGUCGUCGUCGUCGUCCAGUCAAAUAAUCGCCGCUCGUAAAAAGACGUCGACGAUAAAAUCGUGGUUGAGUCUGUGGGCGAUCCCGUUGAUCCCCGAGAUCACGCUGGCCGUUUUCACGCUCAAAGUCGUCCGCUACUGCAUGUACAUGUGGCUGCCGCUGUUCCUGCUCGACUAUUUGAACUACGACAAAGUUCAAGCCGGCCUGAUGUCGACGGCCUUCGAAGUGGGCGGCGGACUGGGCAGCGCUCUGGUGGGUUUCCUGACGCCCAGACUCUUCGCCGGCCGAUCGCUUCCCACGCUCUGUCUAUUGACCAUCUUGAGCAGUUUGUCUUUGCUCCUGUUUGCCCUGACCGCCCAAUUGGGAGCCGCAAUCAAUAUCAUCUGCCUGGUGCUGGCCGGCGCCACCAAUGCCGGACCCGACUCGCUUCUCAGCGGAUCCAUUCCAGCCAGAUUGGGUGAACGAAACGGACUAGGAGCCGGAGCUGCUUUGACAGGACUUGUAAACGGAGCCGGGAGUGUAGGCACGGUCAUCGAGGGUCCCAUCAUUGGUCUGGUUGCCCAUCGCUGGGGAUGGAUGGGCGUUCUCCUGCUAAUGGUGGUGCUGUCAUCGCUAGGAGCUGUGGCUCUGUUACGUGCCGCCUUGAGCGACUCGAGUCAGGCCAGCAGUAACGAUGACGACGACGACGAACCGACAAGCCGCCCAGUCUGACUUUUCUCCUGCCUCCUCUACAACCGCACUAUAAUGGCACCUUAGGCACCUUUAAGAAAUCUAUAAAUAUAUCCAUCGCACAAGUAAAGAAUAAAAAAAAGAACACACAACCGACAACAAUUACCCGAUACAAUGGAGCCCCGCCCGUUGCCAUGACAAUAGGAGAGAAAAAAAAUAGAGAGAUCCCUUCCUUCUUUUCAGCUGCCUCCCAGAGUUUCUUCUCGGUGGAUCUUUCACGACGCCAUUUUCAAUUAUUCACGAAGAAGGAGGUGAUGGUUCACGUGGCAAGUGGUCAAAGUGGUCAAGUGACGUGGCAGAGCUGAAAUCGAGUCAACCACGACGAUGAAACGGCCAAUGUGACGAGCGCCGUCCAGCAGGACGUGGCGGAACUGCCGGUAGUUG
RNAcentral lists this unclassified non-coding RNA (1926 nucleotides) under Daphnia pulex (common water flea). RNAcentral describes it as "glucose-6-phosphate exchanger SLC37A2-like, transcript variant X2". The record is from RNAcentral. Lineage: Eukaryota; Metazoa; Arthropoda; Branchiopoda; Diplostraca; Daphniidae.